This 480-nucleotide ribosomal RNA is filed under the name uncultured bacterium. Its description in RNAcentral is "bacterial SSU rRNA". It matches the Rfam family "Bacterial small subunit ribosomal RNA", at positions 397 to 864 of the family's 1533-position model. The record is from RNAcentral.
ACGCGUGAACGAUGAAGGUCUUCGGAUCGUAAAGUUCUGUUGUCAGGAAAGAACAAGUGCCUGCGAAUAGAGCGGCACCUUGACGGUACCUGACGAGGAAGCCCCGGCUAACUACGUGCCAGCAGCCGCGGUAAUACGUAGGGGGCAAGCGUUGUCCGGAAUUAUUGGGCGUAAAGCGCGCGCAGGCGGUUCCUUAAGUCUGAUGUGACAAGCCCACGGCUCAACCGUGCGAGGGUCAUUGGAAACUGGGGAACUUGAGUACAGAAGAGGAGAGUGGAAUUCCACGUGUAGCGGUGAAAUGCGUAGAUAUGUGGAGGAACACCAGUGGCGAACGCGACUCUCUGGUCUGUAACUGACGCUGAGGCGCGAACAGCGUGGGGACGCAAACAGGAUUAGAUACCCUGAUAGUCCACGCCGUAAACGAUGAGUGCUAGGUGUUAGGGGACUUCCACCCCUUAGUGCUGAAGUUAACGCAUUAAG